AUUGAACGCUGGCGGCAGGCCUAACACAUGCAAGUCGAGCGCGCGGCGGACGGGUGAGUAAUGUAUGGGGACUGCCCGAUAGAGGGGGAUAACUACUGGAAACGGUGGCUAAUACCGCAUCCUAUCGGAUAACCCAUAUGGGAUUAGCUAGUAGUUGGGGUAAAGGCUCACCUCGGCGACGAUCUCUAGCUGGUCUGAGAGGAUGAUCAGCCACACUGGGACUGAGAAACGGCCAAGACUCCUACGGAGGCAGCAGGGGGGAAUAUUGCACAAUGGGGGAAAGCCUGAUGCAGCCAUGCCGCGUGUAUGAAGAAGGCCGUAGGGUGGUAAAGUACUUGCAGCGGGGAGGCGUUACCCGCAGAAGAAGCACCGGCUAACUCCGUGCCAGCAGCCGCGGUAAUUC
This 403-nucleotide ribosomal RNA is filed under the name uncultured bacterium. RNAcentral describes it as "partial 16S ribosomal RNA". It matches the Rfam family "Bacterial small subunit ribosomal RNA", at positions 30 to 526 of the family's 1533-position model. The record is from RNAcentral.